UGGAGGAGAACUCAGCUUUCAGUUUGAUGAUGAAAUAUUAGUUAAACACAUCAUCCCCAAAGGGAUUUAUUUGCAUCUUCUAUCAAUGACGAUGGAAACAGUCUCAGUUUAUCAGCAAGAUGGCUGAGGAUGCACUUACCUAAAUGAGCAAUGAAGAUUCAUCUGCUACAGCUGAGCUGUAUUUGCAUAGGCUAACUUAUUGAGAAGGAAAAAGUGGCAGCCUAUUUUUUCUGACUGUAAAAUGGACUACAAGAGAAAAUUCCUGCUCAGAGGGUGCCCUCUCUUGCAGUAAAAAUCCUUUUUGAAGAUGGUCAAUAACAUGAGGACAUAGAGCAGAAUCACAUUCCGUCCCUACAAAACACCCCCGCCACCAUUUUAAACUACAAAUCUGCCAAACAAAAGAUCAUCCAAAAGACACUUUUUUGAGUGCAUUGCGGAACUGGGAGGGUAUCUUCUUCCGAAGUGAUUUCAUUUUCCAGGCUUGCAAUAAUAAAAUGGUCUUAAGAGUGCUGA
This is a long non-coding RNA of Symphalangus syndactylus (siamang), 513 nucleotides long. RefSeq lists it as uncharacterized. The record is from RefSeq and is a predicted model, not a curated record. NCBI's taxonomy places the organism in Eukaryota, Metazoa, Chordata, Mammalia, Primates, Hylobatidae.